This is a long non-coding RNA of Cavia porcellus (domestic guinea pig), 1466 nucleotides long. RefSeq lists it as uncharacterized. The transcript is spliced from 2 exons. NCBI's taxonomy places the organism in Eukaryota, Metazoa, Chordata, Mammalia, Rodentia, Caviidae. The record is from RefSeq and is a predicted model, not a curated record.
CGUGGCACUGUCAAGUCAUCAGACGCGGUGAUUGCGAGGCCUGUGGGAAAGUACAAAAGCCUGGGCUAGAUUACCCCUCUCAUCGAGCCCGCCUGUGUGGCACCUGUUUCUUAUCACCCCACUAAGUUCCUGCCUCACAGGGUAGUCUGCCUAGCUAUUAAUCCUAUAUAUAGCCAGUGCCUCCACCCCCGAGAGAGAGAGAGACUGAAGCACAAAAGGAGCCGCGGGGAGCGGACCGGUAGAGGCUUCGGGGCAGACUGAAGCACGGAAGGAGCCGCGGAGAGCGGACCGGUAGAGGCUUCGGGGCAGACUGUAUAAGGAGAGAAUAAAGAAAAGCCUGACCACCGCCAGACCUUGUCGUGUGUCUUUCCUGCCGGCCGGGAGCGGACAUCGACAUUUGGUGGCCCGUACGGGGAUUGAUCAACCCCGAGACGCGGCGGUGGACUGCAUUCUCCUACACAGUGCUGCAGCUGCAGGACAGGAAUCGGGACGAGAGCCAAUGUGGGUCCCAGAGAGGUUGACGCGACAAGUCCCUCGACUGAAGAUCAGGCCUGUUCCACCAGAGGCCAACCGCAGACCCAACAACAAGAUGAGCCCUAAAAGAACUGCAGGACAAUCCCUUUUUGGGGGCCUGGAAUGGCUUGCUCCCCUAUGUGCUACCCUUGUAUACGCAUGGCUCGCUCGCAUGGCCUACGACCGCAUUUAAAAGUGACAGGCUUCCCACAUUCUCCUCCCUAGACAACAACAUGUAGCAGGGUGGGUGAGUCAAUGACGGGUAAGAGCGUGCCUCCCCAGCACGACUCAACCUAAGCCAGGCCCUACCCCGUUCCGCUCGAAAGCCGCUGGAUUGUUAGAUAAAUUUCUCUCCGAGGGGAUUCGUGGAGAGAAAUGAGUGCAUGCCUAUGUGCAACCAGGUUCCGUCCGGUUCAUUCCUGGCCCUAGAAAAAAGGACGAGGGCCUCAGGGCCUUGGUGGACCCUGGGACGGCCGACCAGGGUCUACGCUAAGGGCCUACGGUGGGCCUCAGUUCGGGGCAUAGGCCUCUGCACUCUAUCCAGGACGGGCUGCGAUGCGCGUAGCCAUCAUUUAAAAUAAAAUAGGGGGAGAUGUUGGGAGCCGUGGCACUGUCAAGUCAUCAGACGCGGUGAUUGCGAGGCCUGUGGGAAAGUACAAAAGCCUGGGCUAGAUUACCCCUCUCAUCGAGCCCGCCUGUGUGGCACCUGUUUCUUAUCACCCCACUAAGUUCCUGCCUCACAGGGUAGUCUGCCUAGCUAUUAAUCCUAUAUAUAGCCAGUGCCUCCACCCCCGAGAGAGAGAGAGACUGAAGCACAAAAGGAGCCGCGGGGAGCGGACCGGUAGAGGCUUCGGGGCAGACUGAAGCACGGAAGGAGCCGCGGAGAGCGGACCGGUAGAGGCUUCGGGGCAGACUGUAUAAGGAGAGAAUAAAGAAAAGCCUGACCACCGCCA